ACGAACGCUAGCGGCGUGCUUAACACAUGCAAGUCGAACGCUGAAGCUCAGCUUGCUGGGUGGAUGAGUGGCGAACGGGUGAGUAACACGUGAGUAACCUGCCCCCUUCUUUGGGAUAACGCCCGGAAACGGGUGCUAAUACUGGAUAUUCACUGAUCUUCGCAUGGGGGUUGGUGGAAAGGUUUUUUCUGGUGGGGGAUGGGCUCGCGGCCUAUCAGCUUGUUGGUGGGGUGAUGGCCUACCAAGGCUUUGACGGGUAGCCGGCCUGAGAGGGUGACCGGUCACAUUGGGACUGAGAUACGGCCCAGACUCCUACGGGAGGCAGCAGUGGGGAAUAUUGCACAAUGGGCGAAAGCCUGAUGCAGCGACGCCGCGUGAGGGAUGGAGGCCUUCGGGUUGUAAACCUCUUUCGCUCAUGGUCAAGCCGCAACAUUGGUUGUGGUGAGGGUAGUGGGUAAAGAAGCGCCGGCUAACUACGUG
RNAcentral lists this ribosomal RNA (480 nucleotides) under uncultured bacterium. Its description in RNAcentral is "partial 16S ribosomal RNA". It matches the Rfam family "Bacterial small subunit ribosomal RNA", at positions 29 to 507 of the family's 1533-position model. The record is from RNAcentral.